RNAcentral lists this ribosomal RNA (418 nucleotides) under Corynebacterium amycolatum. RNAcentral describes it as "bacterial SSU rRNA". It matches the Rfam family "Bacterial small subunit ribosomal RNA", at positions 353 to 788 of the family's 1533-position model. The record is from RNAcentral. Lineage: Bacteria; Bacillati; Actinomycetota; Actinomycetes; Mycobacteriales; Corynebacteriaceae.
AGUGGGGAAUCUUAGACAAUGGGCGCAAGCCUGAUCUAGCCAUGCCGCGUGAGUGAUGAAGGCCUUAGGGUUGUAAAGCUCUUUCGCCAGGGAUGAUAAUGACAGUACCUGGUAAAGAAACCCCGGCUAACUCCGUGCCAGCAGCCGCGGUAAUACGGAGGGGGUUAGCGUUGUUCGGAAUUACUGGGCGUAAAGCGCACGUAGGCGGCUUUGUAAGUUAGAGGUGAAAGCCUGGAGCUCAACUCCAGAAUUGCCUUUAAGACUGCAUCGCUUGAAUCCAGGAGAGGUGAGUGGAAUUCCGAGUGUAGAGGUGAAAUUCGUAGAUAUUCGGAAGAACACCAGUGGCGAAGGCGGCUCACUGGCUCGAUACUGACGCUGAGGUGCGAAAGUGUGGGGAGCAAACAGGAUUAGAUACCCU